GACGAAGGAUGCAAGCGUUAUCCGGAUUCAUUGGGUUUAAAGGGUGCGUAGGCGGCCCGGUAAGUCAGUGGUGAAAUCUCCUUGCUUAACAAGGAAACUGCCAUUGAUACUGCUGGGCUUGAGUACAGAUGCUGUGGGCGGAAUAUGACAUGUAGUGGUGAAAUACAUAGAGAUGUCAUAGAACACCGAUUGCGAAGGCAGCUCACAAAAACUGUAACUGACGCUGAGGCACGAAAGUGCGGGGAUCAAACAGG
This 254-nucleotide ribosomal RNA is filed under the name uncultured bacterium. RNAcentral's name for it is "partial 16S ribosomal RNA". It matches the Rfam family "Bacterial small subunit ribosomal RNA", at positions 524 to 776 of the family's 1533-position model. The record is from RNAcentral.